RNAcentral lists this unclassified non-coding RNA (90 nucleotides) under Pseudomonas thivervalensis. The record is from RNAcentral. Lineage: Bacteria; Pseudomonadati; Pseudomonadota; Gammaproteobacteria; Pseudomonadales; Pseudomonadaceae.
UGUGGGAGCGAGCCUGCUCGCGAUAACGGUGGAUCAGUCAGCAACACUGUUGACUGACACUCCGCUAUCGCGAGCAGGCUCGCUCCCACA